AUUUAUGAUAUAUUGUGUAAUUAGAUCUUAUUAACUGGUGGGAUGUAACUGGUGUCACAUAUGAAAAGUCACAUCUAACUAUCUUAACAAAACUACAAAUACAAAGGUUAGAAUGGUUUUUAGUGGAUAAGAUUACAUUAUCAUCUAUUUCUACAGAAGCACAAGCAGUUCUUAAACAUACACAGCCUAAGCCAAUAUAUACAAGCACAGUUUCCUGACUAGUAUCUGGAUGAAUCUCAAAGUGGCAAAUGCUUUGCUUAGUAUCCAGACAUAUAUCUUUUGCAUCAGUUCUGUUACUCUCACAGAUAAACCCUAGUUGUUUCCUUGUAGCACAAGAUUCUAAAUUUACAGUUUGCCAUUUCUCAUUUAUCAUUCGGGCCCGUGCUCUGUGCUCCGAGGGAUAGAGCACUGCCUUUUUAUGAUUUAAUUUUAAUCCAAUAAUAGGGUGGAUAGUGUAAAUCAUGGCAUUACGUAUAGUAAGCACAAAAGCAGUAGCCAUUUCAGUGGUAGGGUCAUAAGUAAAAUUUACCAGAGUCUACCAGGAUUGAAGCUUUCUUUUUAAAUUGUUUGCAUUGUCCCAGACAAUUUUCCGAAUUUUAAUUGGAAAAGCACCUUCACUUCUUUCUCUUAUUACUAAAGCAACUGUUGACUGCAUCUAUAAUUGUGCCUGUAUGCACCUGAGAGCCAAUGACACAUUUUCCUGGGCCAUAUUAAGUGCCUUUAUUAUUAACUCAUGGUCUUGGUCUGUAACUUUUUUCUACUUUGGCAAUACUUUAGAGAUUUGUCACUGGCUAGUUUUUAGUGCUAAUAAAGAGGAUCGUAGGGGCUGAUCUAGCUUUCUUAGAUCACUUGUUGCACUGGUUAAUUUAUUCAUUAAUAUUUCUGAAUCUAUUCCGUUUAAAACUUCCAAUGUUGUUCCUAAUAUUUUAGUUAAUGAAGAGGGAGCUGCACUUAGCUCUGUCUUUUAUGGGUUGUUCUGAGAAAUGGUCAUCUCAGUGUGCACCCGCUUCCUGGCAAAUCCAGAUGUCACCUGGAAAUCCUAAGUGAGGAUUUCCAGCCUUGACUACACAGGAGACAGCCUUCUGAAAAUGGAACUGACCUUGGCAGAAGAGCAGCUGUGAAGGGAAGCAGAACAAAAACACAGGACAGGAAAAAGCAUUACACUCCUCCCAUCUUUGCCAAAAGCUGUGGUGUUUGAGCAGCCAAAGCCAGGAGGCUUCAGCACCAGGGCUCUGCCCUGGAGGGCUCCUGGUCCUGCCCGUGCUGUGGGGGAGAAGAACACAAACUCACAGCAAUUCAGUCCUGACAGUCCCCUGCAGCGAGAGCUCAUCACACAUCGACAGAGGCAAGUCCAGCAUCUGAAAGAAAAACCAGAAGAAAAAGGUUCUUGUUCCAGAGGUGCUCUGACCCCAGAGCCAUACAGGGUCUGUAGUCUUGAUAAAUGGGAAUGAAAUUGGCCCAGUCUGUCAGGAAAGCAAAAACAUCCUGGGGUUUGUUUGGCCAAAGACGGACCAUGAAGAUGUCUGUACUUCCAGUGGGGAAAUGGUCAUCUGUGUGUGCACGCGCUUCCUUCAAAUCCAGAUGUGACAUGGAAAUUCCAAGUGAGGAUUUCCAGCCUUGACUCCAGGGGACACAGGCUUCAGAAAAUGGAACUGACCUUGGCAGAAUCGCAGCUGUGAAGGGGAGCAGCACUGAAAUACAGGACAGGAAAAAGCAUGACACUCCUCCCAUCUUUGCCAAAAGCUGUGGUGUUUGCGCAGCCAAAGCCAAGAGGCUUCAGCACCAGGGCUCUGCCCUGGAGGGCUCCUGGUCCUACCGGUGCUGUGGGGUCAGCAGGAACAAGAGGAAAUGGGGUGCCAGAGCCGUGUGCCAUCAGGCCGUGUUUCCCUCUGAGGACAGAGAGUCCGGGCUGAGGUGAGAUGGGCACGAGAGCCGGGAUGAGCAAUCCAGGGAUUCCAGGGAGCUCGGAAUCGCAGCUGCUGCCGGAACCGCGGCCUUAGCCCUCCAGCAGUAUUCCAGGACUCUGAUGAAACCUUCACCUUCUGCAAUUUGAAAAUGCCAGCUGGGCAGCCUUUGGAAAGAGCCAAGCAGUUGGGGUCUAUUUUGUGAUGAUGGCAUCAGACUGUGUGCAGCUGAAAUGUGUGACCUGAGCCCCUGGGCAUUCCUGGGAGAUGCUGACUGAGAGACAACAGCCCAGCGAUGGCAGGAAUUUCCCACAUGGUGAAGCUUUUUUACUGCACACCUGGCAUGGUUUCUCAUACCCGGAUCUCUGACAGAUAAGUGCAGGGCUCCAACCCACAGAGGGGAUGGGAGCGGGAUGCUGGGUCUGGAAUUGUCAGGAGGGAUUUUUGAGGCAACUUUGGAACUGGGGAUGUCCAAGAAGCAGCCCGUCAAGCCCCAUAAGGGGAAGACUCUCAAUUUGAUUUCAGCAUGAACAGCGCAGGCCCUAAGCGACGCCAGCGCACAGGGAUCCCCACAGGCCCAACGUCAGCCCUUGCAGCA
Molecule: long non-coding RNA, 2502 nt
Organism: Catharus ustulatus (Swainson's thrush)
Lineage: Eukaryota; Metazoa; Chordata; Aves; Passeriformes; Turdidae
Exons: 11
Source: RefSeq, a predicted model, not a curated record